Molecule: long non-coding RNA, 2750 nt
Organism: Pipra filicauda (Wire-tailed manakin)
Lineage: Eukaryota; Metazoa; Chordata; Aves; Passeriformes; Pipridae
Exons: 3
Source: RefSeq, a predicted model, not a curated record
AGGCAUCUCCCUAAGACAGAGAGUAGUCUCUCUGUCUUCCCAUAUAUAGAGGAUGCUAAAAGAAAGGAAGGUCUUCAAAAUGUUUAAAUCUGACUCCUAUGCCAAAGAGGGACACUACUAUAAAAGGUUAUCCAUUGCUCCUAUUCAGAAUUGCUCUUUGGAGGUGCCUGUUUCUUUCUCUUAGUGUGAUGUUUGGCAAAGUGAAUUUCCUCCCUGCAGGUUUCACUUCAGGGAAGUGUUGUGAACUCUUUUGCAGGUGCUAAGGGAACUCAGAAUAGUAUAAAAACUGAAAAGAGGGAAUUUACAGCAUUCACAUGGACUGUGGAAUUCAGUUAAUGAAGAAUUUUGCUUCCUUCUAGAUGUUUUUCAAGCCCUUGAACCUACUGCCAUGAUUCAUGCAAACUUAAGAGGUCAGAGUGCAAUAACUUCACUCCUCCUUCUACAAAUGUGUCAUGACUUGAGAGAGGUACAUAAUGACAUUAACAAUAGUUCCUGGUUUCUUACUCCUGGAAUGGACUACUUCUGAAAGGAAGGCUACCCACAGUGUUUACAAGCUACCUUGCUCCCGAUAUGCCUUUCUUUUUAGAAGAGGUGUAUGUUUAGGUGGACCUGAAAUUAUGAGAAAGCAAUGCAUCCCUCAGCAAGCAGAAGCAGAAGUAAAGCCCAUACUUAUGGUAUAAAUUAGGAAGCAAAUAAGACCUGCAGUUCUUCAGUGAAAGCAUGGAAUGUGCUAUGAAUCAGGGUAACACCUGAGACAGAAGAUGAGCAGUGAUUCCCUGAGGAAAAAGCAGGAUUUCUGUUUUCUCCUGGAAUGGGACUCUGAUAUGAGACCAACUACAAAUCUGUGGCAAGUGUGGCUAUGGUCUUGCUGGGUGGAACUGGUAAAAGGUGAAAGACAGGAACCUGUAAUUUCAGGGAAACAGUGAAAAUCCUGUGAUAAGCAGGAUUAAAACUGGCUUCCAGCUGCCUGACUAAUAUGAGGCCCUUGGAAGAGACCAUCAGGGAGUUUCCCAGCAAUGACUGUGGAAAACUGAGAUUUGAUCAAGACUCUGGAAAAAAAGCUUGGAUCCACACUCAGUAUCUGAUGACACAUUAAGUCCCUUCUACUGAAAGACAAAGAUCACAUGAACUGUAAAGGAAAUGUUGGUAUCUGGAGAUGGUGUAAUUUUGGUUGCUGGAACAAACAUUUGUUUGGAUUUCUCUUCAUGGGGAAUGAUGUAGUUCUCAUCCCUAUGUUUGAAGACUCACUUCAGUUUUCUUCGCCACAAAAAGAACAAUGGUAAAGACAAUUCAAUGCAUGGAGAUGAAGAAAGGAAUUUCUGUAAGAAACAGUUUUAAUUGUUAUGGUAGUCUGUUAAAUACUUAAUUUGAUUUUUAGGGUUAAACCUCUCUUUAAAGGAUUGUAAAACAUACAGUCACCACACAAAGCUUGUGCCAGUGUGCUUUAGCUAGUAACUGUGUUACUGCUGAGAAGAAAAAUCUAAGAAAUACAUUCAAGAUUUUUAAAGUUUUUUACAUAGAAGGAAAUUUUUAGGGUUUCACAUAUGCCUUGAACUCUUCUUCUACUGAAUAUUGCUAGACACCUUUCUUUGACAACUUUUUAGAGAUGACAAGGUUUAGUACAAGGCUGAAUGUUGUCAGAUGAACCCCUGUAGACUUGCUGACUUGCAGCUGAACACUAAUGCUCUUUUACUACAGCUUUUUGUUCUGAGAAUCCUUUUUCAUUAGACUGCUUGAGAAAUUCUCAAAUAAAAAAGUGCCUACAAUACAACAUAUAAACCUGAAAUCUCAACUUAAGCAAUUGGAGUAUAUAAUAGUAAAAAUUGUCCUUUAAAAUAGGAAGUGGAAAUUUCAGCCUUUAGAAAGGUCUUUGCUGAGAGUAUCAGGUGGAAAGUCAAGUGGAAUCUUCUCUUCAGAGCAGUUGGAUCAAUGUCUUCUGGAUUAGUCUUAUUUCCAGUGACAAGUUAAGUACUCAGCAAUAAGCAGCAAUGAUCUAAUGAUCUCCAUGAAACAGUUCAUUCAACCAUUUUUAGGAAUACAUUGCCAUCUGGUGUACAAAAUUUUGAAUAUGUCAGUUUUACUAUUUAAAAUCUAAUGUCCUUGGACAGAAAGUCUUCCAUCAUUUUAUACUUACUUCCUGGAAUCAACCUAUUGAACUCAAUGAACUAAAACCUAUAGUACUUUUCAAUGCAAUUUUUUCAUAAGGGUUUUCAGAACAUUUGUGAGUUCACACACUGGCAAUAAUAUAUUUCAAUUGCUACAGAGACUACUUACAUGUUGGUGCUAUCAGUUCCCUAUGUGACUGGAAUAUCUAUCUUGUAUUAUCUCUAAGCUAAGAGAUAAAAUUGAAUGUAAUCCUACCAAAAAAAUUGUGCUUAUAUUAGUAAGACAGUCACUGCACUGAGGCGCUGCAUUCUUACUGCUUGUACCUUGUGCAAAGGGAAGUUUAAAAAUACAAACAGCAGACUUUCAGCCCAGACAGAUUUUAAGGGAUGUUUUGCUCAUUUAAAUUAGGUAAAGAUUUGUUUCCUAAUUUCUAGUUUGAUUAAACAGCAGAUUUUGAAUAGCGGCUUUCAUUUGAUCUCAUAAUAAGCAACUCUGAGUUUGUAUUAGUCUUUUAGUAUGUCUUCUGAUCUUCCAUAAGCACUGAUCAAGGGUGAUCAUGGUAUUGUGAAAACUAGUGAAACUGGCUCCUCAAAUAUCGCAUUUGUCACAUGGUAGGCAUCAUAAAACGAUUCUCCUGCUACAAA